GGGCGUAAGCGCGCGCAGGCGGUUUCUUAAGUCUGAUGUGAAAGCCCACGGCUCAACCGGGGAGGGGCAUUGGAAACUGGCGAACUUGAGUGCGGAAGAGAGUGGCGGAAUUCCACGUGUAGCGGUGAAAUGCGUAGAGAUGUGAAGGAACACCAGUGGCGAAGGCGGCUUUUUGGUCUGUAACUGACGCUGAGGCGCGAAAGCGUGGGGAGCAAACAGGAUUAGAUACCCUGGUAGUCCACGCCGUAAACGAUGACUGCUAGGCGU
RNAcentral lists this ribosomal RNA (267 nucleotides) under Pseudomonas plecoglossicida. RNAcentral's name for it is "partial 16S ribosomal RNA". It matches the Rfam family "Bacterial small subunit ribosomal RNA", at positions 556 to 823 of the family's 1533-position model. The record is from RNAcentral. Lineage: Bacteria; Pseudomonadati; Pseudomonadota; Gammaproteobacteria; Pseudomonadales; Pseudomonadaceae.